This 430-nucleotide ribosomal RNA is filed under the name Pseudomonadota bacterium. Its description in RNAcentral is "Proteobacteria bacterium partial 16S ribosomal RNA". It matches the Rfam family "Bacterial small subunit ribosomal RNA", at positions 355 to 776 of the family's 1533-position model. The record is from RNAcentral. Lineage: Bacteria; Pseudomonadati; Pseudomonadota.
UGGGGAAUAUUGGACAAUGGGGGGAACCCUGAUCCAGCCAUGCCGCGUGUGUGAAGAAGGCCUUAUGGUUGUAAAGCACUUUAAGCGAGGAGGAGGGUACUGGUAUUAAUACUACCAGGUACUGGACGUUACUCGCAGAAUAAGCACCGGCUAACUCUGUGCCAGCAGCCGCGGCAAUACAGAGGGUGCGAGCGUUAAUCGGAUUUACUGGGCGUAAAGCGUGCGUAGGCGGCUAAUUGAGUCGGGUGUGAAAGCCCCGAGCUUAACUUGGGAAUUGCAUUCGAUACUGGUUAGCUAGAGUGUGGGAGAGGAUGGUAGAAUUCCAGGUGUAGCGGUGAAAUGCGUAGAGAGCUGGAGGAAUACCGAUGGCGAAGGCAGCCAUCUGGCCUAACACUGACGCUGAGGUACGAAAGCAUGGGGAGCAAACAGG